Molecule: ribosomal RNA, 407 nt
Filed under: uncultured bacterium
Lineage: Bacteria
Description: partial 16S ribosomal RNA
Rfam family: Bacterial small subunit ribosomal RNA
Source: RNAcentral
AUUGAACGCUGGCGGCAGGCCUAACACAUGCAAGUCGAGCGGAGCGGCGGACGGGUGAGUAAUGCCUAGGAAUCUGCCUGGUAGUGGGGGAUAACGUCCGGAAACGGGCGCUAAUACCGCAUACUAUCAGAUGAGCCUAGGUCGGAUUAGCUAGUUGGUGGGGUAAAGGCCUACCAGGGCGACGAUCCGUAACUGGUCUGAGAGGAUGAUCAGUCACACGUGAACUGAAACACGGACCAGAGGCCUACGGGAGGCAGCAGUGGGAAAGAUGGGACAAUGGGCGAAAGCCUGAUCCAGCCAUGGGGCGUGUGUUAAGAAGGUCUGCGGAUUGUAAAGCACUUUAAGUUGGGAGUCGUGUCCAACAGAAUAAGCACCGGCUAACUACGUGCCAGCCGCCGCGGUAAUAC